Molecule: ribosomal RNA, 301 nt
Filed under: uncultured bacterium
Lineage: Bacteria
Description: partial 16S ribosomal RNA
Rfam family: Bacterial small subunit ribosomal RNA
Source: RNAcentral
CAGCAGCCGCGGUAAUACGUAGGUGGCAAGCGUUGUCCGGAAUUAUUGGGCGUAAAGGGCUCGCAGGCGGUUUCUUAAGUCUGAUGUGAAAGCCCCCGGCUCAACCGGGGAGGGUCAUUGGAAACUGGGAAACUUGAGUGCAGAAGAGGAGAGUGGAAUUCCACGUGUAGCGGUGUAAUGCGUAGAGAUGUGGAGGAACACCAGUGGCGAAGGCGACUCUCUGGUCUGUAACUGACGCUGAGGAGCGAAAGCGUGGGGAGCGAACAGGAUUAGAUACCCCUGUAGUCCCUGUCUCUUAUAU